This 205-nucleotide ribosomal RNA is filed under the name uncultured bacterium. RNAcentral's name for it is "partial 16S ribosomal RNA". It matches the Rfam family "Bacterial small subunit ribosomal RNA", at positions 568 to 774 of the family's 1533-position model. The record is from RNAcentral.
UGCGUAGGUGGCCUGGAAAGUUUGAUGUGAAAGCUCGGAGCUUAACUCCGAAAUGGCAUUGAAUACUACUGGGCUUGAGGGUCGGAGGGGAGACUGGAAUUCUCGGUGUAACAGUGAAAUGCGUAGAUAUCGAGAGGAACACCAGUGGCGAAGGCGAGUCUCUGGACGACCCCUGACACUGAGGCACGAAAGCUGGGAGCAAACA